AUCCAACUGACGAAUCCCGAAGAGGACGAAACGUGUGUCUUGUAU
Molecule: non-coding RNA, 45 nt
Organism: Schistosoma rodhaini
Lineage: Eukaryota; Metazoa; Platyhelminthes; Trematoda; Strigeidida; Schistosomatidae
Source: Rfam